This 497-nucleotide ribosomal RNA is filed under the name uncultured bacterium. Its description in RNAcentral is "partial 16S ribosomal RNA". It matches the Rfam family "Bacterial small subunit ribosomal RNA", at positions 28 to 507 of the family's 1533-position model. The record is from RNAcentral.
GAUGAACGCUGGCGGCGUGCCUAAUACAUGCAAGUCGAGCGAACAGACGAGGAGCUUGCUCCUCUGACGUUAGCGGCGGACGGGUGAGUAACACGUGGAUAACCUACCUAUAAGACUGGGAUAACUUCGGGAAACCGGAGCUAAUACCGGAUAAUAUAUUGAACCGCAUGGUUCAAUAGUGAAAGACGGUUUUGCUGUCACUUAUAGAUGGAUCCGCACCGCAUUAGCUAGUUGGUAAGGUAACGGCUUACCAAGGCGACGAUGCGUAGCCGACCUGAGAGGGUGAUCGGCCACACUGGAACUGAGACACGGUCCAGACUCCUACGGGAGGCAGCAGUAGGGAAUCUUCCGCAAUGGGCGAAAGCCUGACGGAGCAACGCCGCGUGAGUGAUGAAGGUCUUCGGAUCGUAAAACUCUGUUAUUAGGGAAGAACAAAUGUGUAAGUAACUAUGCACGUCUUAACGGUACCUAAUCAGAAAGCCACGGCUAGCUACGUG